CAUUAAGUGGCUGAAAUGUAGCAAGCAUUGGUCUCUUAAACCAAAAUAUAGUAAUUAGACACUACUCUUAAUGA
This 74-nucleotide transfer RNA is filed under the name Pycanum ochraceum. RNAcentral describes it as "tRNA-Lys". It matches the Rfam family "tRNA". From Rfam's summary of the family: Transfer RNA (tRNA) molecules are approximately 80 nucleotides in length. Their secondary structure includes four short double-helical elements and three loops (D, anti-codon, and T loops). The record is from RNAcentral. Lineage: Eukaryota; Metazoa; Arthropoda; Insecta; Hemiptera; Tessaratomidae.